GGAGAUGAUUGGCUUCAUAUGAUCUUAUGGGCGGGUUAUAAUGUGGGAGGAGCCAGUGGUAUUACAGCAAUAUGUGGGUAGUUAAGCGUGCUUUCGGGUUUGGGAUCUUAGGGAGUCGUGCGUUCGUCAGUGCAAUGGCGGCUCAAGCAGAAGACUGGCGCAGCGCCAAAUCCAUCUACGAGUUCUCGGCCAAGGACAUCGAUGGCAACGAGGUUUCCCUGGAGACGUACAGGGGUCAUGUUUGUAUCAUCACUAAUCUUGCCUCGAAGUGAGGCAAGACCUCCGUAAACUACACUCAGUUUGCGCAAAUGCACGCCACGUACGCUGAGAGAGGUUUACGCAUCCUCGGGUUCCCCUGCAACCAGUUCGGAAAGCAGGAACCGGGAACAGAGGAAGAGAUAAAGGAGUUUGCCAAGGGAUACCAUGCCGAGUUCGACCUGUUCAGUAAGAUUGAUGUAAAUGGUGAGAACGCCCACCCACUCUGGAAGUGGAUGAAGGAUCAGCCCAAGGGCAAAGGAACUCUGGGAAACAACAUCAAAUGGAAUUUCACGAAGGCACACACGUCACUUUUAAUUGCUUGACAUUCUUUGACAUUUGCCGAUGUGGACGGACUGGAGGAUGUUGAUCGAGUUUGUGCACUGAUUGCAACAGACAGUUUCUUAUCAACAAAGAAGGGCAGGUGGUGAAGAGGUACUCUCCCAUGGAUGAUCCGAGUGUGGUGGAAAAAGAUCUCCCCAGUUAUAUGUAGUGUGCCGUCCCAUGUGACUGAAGUAUUGCCUUGUCGUGUCUCGUCUCUCCUCUCCCGUGGCAUGCUGGGAUUUUGAGUCCGUUCCCCAGACCAGUGACGGCCUGUCCUGAAACCUGUUCACAGAUGGGUUGGACCGGCCUGAUGAACCCCCAGGCGUGCAGCCCCCACCUGGGAGGACUCCAGCACCCAGCAUGACCCUGUUCAAAUUCGAGAGGAGGCCUAAGACCUUCCCCCUCAAUGUUAUAAGUGUAUUUGUAACCGAAGGCUUGAUCUAGACUUUUGUAAUGUGCAGCUAAUUAAUAAAUAAACCUGCGGAA
This is an RNA transcript of Conger conger (European conger), 1065 nucleotides long. It is a transcript of the gene named phospholipid hydroperoxide glutathione peroxidase-like, with no coding region annotated. NCBI's taxonomy places the organism in Eukaryota, Metazoa, Chordata, Actinopteri, Anguilliformes, Congridae. The record is from RefSeq and is a predicted model, not a curated record. The transcript is spliced from 8 exons.